CCCGCUCCGGGCGCUGAGGAGAGCGGCGGGCCCUCCUCGCCCCGGUCUAGAGUUAGGGGGGCCGCGGGCCAUCCCGCCCCCUCCUCCGGCGGGGCCAGCGCGGGCUCCUUCGGACACCGACGCUGCCGGUUGUCUCGGGGUUGUUUGCCCGCGCCUUUGAACCGGGAACUGGUGUUUGUUUGAAUUUGUCGUCCUCGUUUCCGAGGAGUUCUGGCGGCGGUUCGCUUUCGGGUCACAGAGAGGUGCCUUCUUUACAAAGAAACGGGGGACGGAUCCGUUACGUUAUCUGAAUAUAUAUUAAUGUAGCUGUGUUAAUGCCCGUUUACCUGCUGCCAGGUCCUUCCCUGCUCGCCUAGCGGGUUAAAGGGCAGUGCAGCGGAGAGCCACGUCUCUCAAUCUGUAGUAGAGCCAUAAAAUUCAUAACCUGGAUGAUUCACAGAGGAAAUCCUAGACCAGAACAAUGCUAAGUCUCUGAGGACCCACCUUGGAAAAAAAUAACGCGGUGCAUAAUGGCUGUAUAGAAAUUCACAUCUCUCUUUCAGUUGUCCUCUCCAGUGGCUCCAGUAUGGCAUGAAGCUGGUUGAGAAACGACGUCUCAAUGGCUGGAUAAAUCUGCCAGCUCUCUCACUUCAACUGAAACGUCUCGGGAAACCCCGCUGAGCUCCCGAUUUCUACCAGACUUGGCAGAAGCACAAUUUAGCAGUUAAUCCAGGUCUUCAUAGAAGCCAGACUUUCCACCUGCAGGCAGGCUGCACGACUACUCCUCUGGGGCCCCCCAGCUAAUGGAGCCCACCACAGGGUGACACUCAUGCUGUCACGGAGAAGAAACUUGCAGCACAAGUGCUGGGACUUCAGUUUUGCAGUGCAGGGAAAAUGUCUUUAUGAGGAGCAAGGGGUAAUAAUAAUCGCAGAAGAGUUGAAGUGACAGAAGCAGAAGCAGAAUAUCUCUACCGAGAUUUUUUCAAGCAGGAUCCGUGGGACUGAUGCAACGCCAGUGUUAAAGCAGGUGGCUGCACAGCCGCAGUUGUAUCGGCGGACACAGGAACAUGUGGCCAUACCAGCUGGGGAGGAGGGAGUGAAUGAUAUCCACUUACCCUGCCCCAGCUGCAUUGGCUGAACUUGGGAUGUUUGAGGCUACAAGUGCCCCCGAGCUACUGCAUCCUCCUCAGAGGUACAUGGCAGAGUCGAGUCGGCAACAGCGCCUGGAGCUCCUUGGUUCUGCUCUGCAGCAGCAGAGCCCCGUAGGAAGACACUGUGUCAAGCCUUAGCCAGAAGCGUCAAGAACAGAGUCCCCUUAAAGGCGACCCAGAAUGGAAAAAAAUGUAUUUGUCCCCUUCUGGGGGAUAAAAAGGCCUAAGAAAAUC
Long non-coding RNA from Harpia harpyja (harpy eagle), 1364 nucleotides. RefSeq lists it as uncharacterized. The transcript is spliced from 4 exons. The record is from RefSeq and is a predicted model, not a curated record. NCBI's taxonomy places the organism in Eukaryota, Metazoa, Chordata, Aves, Accipitriformes, Accipitridae.